RNAcentral lists this RNase P RNA (375 nucleotides) under Sphingomonas sp. ABOLF. Its description in RNAcentral is "RNase P RNA component class A". It matches the Rfam family "Bacterial RNase P class A". Rfam says of the family: Ribonuclease P (RNase P) is a ubiquitous endoribonuclease, found in archaea, bacteria and eukarya as well as chloroplasts and mitochondria. Its best characterised activity is the generation of mature 5'-ends of tRNAs by cleaving the 5'-leader elements of precursor-tRNAs. Lineage: Bacteria; Pseudomonadati; Pseudomonadota; Alphaproteobacteria; Sphingomonadales; Sphingomonadaceae. The record is from RNAcentral.
UCAGAGGGUCGGGCGGCCGCGGCCUCGUUCGCAAGAACGGGGGCGAGGAAAGUCCGGGCUCCACGGAAACGACGGUGCCGGGUAACGCCCGGCGGGGGCGACCCCAGGGAAAGUGCCACAGAGAGCAAACGGCGACGGCUUCGGCCACGUCACGGUGAAAGGGUGCGGUAAAAGCGCACCGCGGGCCUGGUAACAGGAACGGCAUGGCAAACCCCACCGGGAGCAAGACCGAAUAGGGACGGCACAUGGGCCUCGUUCCGGCCCGUCGUCCGGGUUGGUUGCUGGAGGCGGCGCGCAAGCGUCGUCCUAGAGGAAUGGUCGCCUAUCCCGCCUCGCGCGGGUGGACAGAACCCGGCUUACAGACCCUCUGACGCG